RNAcentral lists this ribosomal RNA (468 nucleotides) under uncultured bacterium. RNAcentral's name for it is "partial 16S ribosomal RNA". It matches the Rfam family "Bacterial small subunit ribosomal RNA", at positions 28 to 507 of the family's 1533-position model. The record is from RNAcentral.
GACGAACGCUGGCGGCGUGCUUAACACAUGCAAGUCGAACGGAAAGGCCCUGCUUUUGUGGGGUGCUCGAGUGGCGAACGGGUGAGUAACACGUGAGUAACCUGCCCUUGACUUUGGGAUAACUUCAGGAAACUGGGGCUAAUACCGGAUAGGAGCUCCUGCUGCAUGGUGGGGGUUGGAAAGUUUCGGCGGUUGGGGAUGGACUCGCGGCUUAUCAGCUUGUUGGUGGGGUAGUGGCUUACCAAGGCUUUGACGGGUAGCCGGCCUGAGAGGGUGACCGGCCACAUUGGGACUGAGGUACGGCCCAGAAUCCUACGGGAGGCAGCAGGGGGGAAUAUUGCAACAUGGGCGGAAGCCUGAUGCAGCAACGCCGCGUGCGGGAUGACGGCCUUCGGGUUGUAAAACGCUUUCGCCUGUGACGAAGCGUGAGUGACGGUAAUGGGUAAAGAAGCAACGGCUAACUACGUG